UACGUAGGGUGCAAGCGUUGUCCGGAAUUAUUGGGCGUAAAGAGCUCGUAGGCGGUUUGUUGCGUCGGCUGUGAAAUCCCGAGGCUCAACCUCGGGUCUGCAGUCGAUACGAGCAAACUAGAGUGUUGCAGGGGAGACUGGAAUUCCUGGUGUAGCGGUGAAAUGCGCAGAUAUCAGGAGGAACACCGGUGGCGAAGGCGGGUCUCUGGGCAACAACUGACGCUGAGGAGCGAAAGCAUGGGGGAGCGAACAGG
Molecule: ribosomal RNA, 254 nt
Filed under: uncultured bacterium
Lineage: Bacteria
Description: partial 16S ribosomal RNA
Rfam family: Bacterial small subunit ribosomal RNA
Source: RNAcentral